UCUUUUCCUUUUGUUUCAGCCGCCGCGGUAAAACGUAGGUCACAAGCGUUGUCCGGAAUUACUGGGUGUAAAGGGAGCGCAGGCGGGAAGACAAGUUGGAAGUGAAAUCCAUGGGCUCAACCCAUGAACUGCUUUCAAAACUGUUUUUCUUGAGUAGUGCAGAGGUAGGCGGAAUUCCCGGUGUAGCGGUGGAAUGCGUAGAUAUCGGGAGGAACACCAGUGGCGAAGGCGGCCUACUGGGCACCAACUGACGCUGAGGCUCGAAAGUGUGGGUAGCAAACAGG
This 284-nucleotide ribosomal RNA is filed under the name Faecalibacterium prausnitzii. Its description in RNAcentral is "partial 16S ribosomal RNA". It matches the Rfam family "Bacterial small subunit ribosomal RNA", at positions 493 to 776 of the family's 1533-position model. Lineage: Bacteria; Bacillati; Bacillota; Clostridia; Eubacteriales; Oscillospiraceae. The record is from RNAcentral.